RNAcentral lists this small RNA (85 nucleotides) under Flavobacterium sp. 9R. Its description in RNAcentral is "Flavo-1". It matches the Rfam family "Flavo-1 RNA". Lineage: Bacteria; Pseudomonadati; Bacteroidota; Flavobacteriia; Flavobacteriales; Flavobacteriaceae. The record is from RNAcentral.
AUUUAGCAAAUCUAAAGGAUUGUAGUGGAAAUCCUUUGCUGCCGGGGUUCGGCAGCAAAGAUUGUAACGGAAAGCGGGACGAUGC